AAGGGGCACAUGAUGAGUUUGAAUUGUGUAAAUGGGUAAUUUGCAUCUGAAUUUUAUUGAUGUUAAUAUCACCUUGGAGAACUGAUGCCCCGA
RNAcentral lists this small nucleolar RNA (93 nucleotides) under Cicer arietinum (chickpea). Lineage: Eukaryota; Viridiplantae; Streptophyta; Magnoliopsida; Fabales; Fabaceae. The record is from RNAcentral.